Molecule: ribosomal RNA, 253 nt
Filed under: uncultured bacterium
Lineage: Bacteria
Description: partial 16S ribosomal RNA
Rfam family: Bacterial small subunit ribosomal RNA
Source: RNAcentral
GACGAACCGUGCGAACGUUGUUCGGAAUCACUGGGCAUAAAGGGCGCGUAGGCGGGCCGUAAAGUCAGGGGUGAAAUCCUCCAGCUUAACUGGAGAACUGCCUUUGAUACUGACGGCCUCGAGUGAGGUAGGGGCGUGCGGAACUGAUGGUGGAGCGGUGAAAUGUGUUGAUAUCAUCAGGAACUCCGGUGGCGAAAGCGGCACGCUGGACCUUUACUGACGCUGAGGCGCGAAAGCCAGGGGAGCGAACGGG